UCCCCGUUCUCCUGGGCAGUCUCUCCAGAGUUCCCGGCAUGACCCGUUGGUAACUGAAGACAGGGGUUGCGUUCGUUGCGGGACUUAAUUUAAUACCUCGCGGCACGAGCUGACGACAGCCAUGCAGCACCUGAGCAGGAUGGUAUUGCUACCUCGUUGGGCUUUCACCCUUCUACUACCUGCAUGUCCAGCCUGGGUAAGGUUUUUCGCGUUGCAUCGAAUUAAACCACAUCAUCCACCGCUUGUGCGGGCCCCCGUCAAUUCCUUUGAGUUUUAAUCUUGCGACCGUACUCCCCAGGCGGAUGACUUCGCGCGUUAGCUGCGUUACUAAGGGAUUUAACUCCCCCAACAACUAGUCAUCAUCGUUUAGGGCGUGGACUAC
RNAcentral lists this unclassified non-coding RNA (382 nucleotides) under uncultured bacterium. RNAcentral describes it as "contains 16S-23S intergenic spacer region". The record is from RNAcentral.